GAUGAACGCUGGCGGCGUGCCUAAUACAUGCAAGUCGAGCGAACAGAUGAGGAGCUUGCUCCUCCGACGUUAGCGGCGGACGGGUGAGUAACACGUGGAUAACCUACCUAUAAGACUGGGAUAACUUCGGGAAACCGGAGCUAAUACCGGAUAAUAUAUUGAACCGCAUGGUUCAAUAGUGAAAGACGGUUUUGCUGUCACUUAUAGAUGGAUCCGCGCCGCAUUAGCUAGUUGGUAAGGUAACGGCUUACCAAGGCAACGAUGCGUAGCCGACCUGAGAGGGUGAUCGGCCACACUGGAACUGAGACACGGUCCAGACUCCUACGGGAGGCAGCAGUAGGGAAUCUUCCGCAAUGGGCGAAAGCCUGACGGAGCAACGCCGCGUGAGUGAUGAAGGUCUUCGGAUCGUAAAACUCUGUUAUUAGGGAAGAACAAAUGUGUAAGUAACUAUGCACGUCUUGACGGUACCUAAUCAGAAAGCCACGGCUAACUACGUG
This 497-nucleotide ribosomal RNA is filed under the name uncultured bacterium. RNAcentral describes it as "partial 16S ribosomal RNA". It matches the Rfam family "Bacterial small subunit ribosomal RNA", at positions 28 to 507 of the family's 1533-position model. The record is from RNAcentral.